AUGUACCUGUGAGGGAAGAAGCAAAUAAAUAUAAGGUAUAUGUGAAAAAUUUUCAUUCACCCGUGUCUCUCCUUUGUUUCAGCUGACAUGUGUAAAGCAAGAUGGAAGGCUUUAAGGGACGCAUUCGCAAAAAACAGGAAAAAAGGCAUUCCAAGUGGAUCGGCAGGUGGCACACAGAAGGACUGGAAGUAUGCAGAGAUCAUGUUCGAAGGAUCAUUCCUUCGUUUUGCCCCAUCUACAACCAAGAAGUUCAAGAAGCAAUGUCGGGUCGGGUACCCCUCAGUCAGACCGGUCUGAGGGUCGGUCCAGCACCCCUGGCAUUUCAUUGCAACAGCCUUCGACAUCUCCGGCUCCAUCAACCUCAGCACUGUCUGCCUCUAGGUCCCGGAACCCCAGGGACAGAAAUAUUUCAAGGCCGGCUGUUGCAGCGCAGGCCCCCAGGGAAACCAGAAGAGGCCAAAGACCGAUAGACACAGGCAUUGGGGACCGGCUGAUGUCUUUGCUGGAGCAGCCGGUGCCAAAACCCCAUAUACCCGAUGACGAGCUGGACGAGGCAUAUCAUUUUGCGAUGAGCAUUGUGCCAAUGUUGCACCGCUUAAACAAGGACAGUCGGCAACAGGCCAAAAUGGAGAUCCUCACUGUUCUUCACCACCUCGAAAGUGGCCAACCUCCACCUUUACCUCCCCCCGCUCUGGGACAAACAUCCCGACCCCCACAAUCUCAACCUCCUCCUCCCCCAACACAGUUGCCUUCUCCUAUUCAACCAAUUCACCCCCCCACACAAACAGAGUCGUUCACACAAAUGAGUCCUGACUGGGAAGACCCGAACGACCCAUACUACACGUAGUACAAGCGUUGCUUGUUUGCCAGUUUUCUUUACAUUUGUUACUAUUUUUAAGUUUUUAUUCUUGUUUUUGAAAAUCUUUUUUCACUUUAUAUAUUUAUUUAUAACGUUUAUAUGUUGAAACCGUAUUAAAAAAUGUUUCUUCA
Gadus macrocephalus (Pacific cod) is the source of this 990-nucleotide long non-coding RNA. RefSeq lists it as uncharacterized. The record is from RefSeq and is a predicted model, not a curated record. The transcript is spliced from 2 exons. NCBI's taxonomy places the organism in Eukaryota, Metazoa, Chordata, Actinopteri, Gadiformes, Gadidae.